Molecule: long non-coding RNA, 189 nt
Organism: Juglans microcarpa x Juglans regia
Lineage: Eukaryota; Viridiplantae; Streptophyta; Magnoliopsida; Fagales; Juglandaceae
Exons: 2
Source: RefSeq, a predicted model, not a curated record
UGUUACUAUUAUCUUCAAUCUCCCUCCUCACCUAAUUAUCGUUUGAAUAACUUGCUUUACCCAAUGAUCAUAAUUAUCUCAAAUGUUCUACUGCAGUCUGUUGCAACAUAUUUAAGUCAUGUUAUGGCUGCAAUUGGAGGAAACACUGCUGGUCCAGGAGAUGCUGUUGUCAAUGUUUACAUAAACCAU